RNAcentral lists this long non-coding RNA (494 nucleotides) under Musa acuminata (dwarf banana). Its description in RNAcentral is "long non-coding RNA (MACU_LNC000953)". The record is from RNAcentral. Lineage: Eukaryota; Viridiplantae; Streptophyta; Magnoliopsida; Zingiberales; Musaceae.
AUAAGCAAGGUCUAUGAUGUUCCCUGGCUAGUGGUGGCUCCAUGCUGCAGUGAGCCUUGAACCCUAAGGCUGGUGUUAAUUAUUAAAAGGAUUAAAUUGAAAUCUAAACCUUUGUAAAUCCUACAUCACUGCCAGUUAAAUCUUUUAGGAUUGCAGGUAUUUCGAAUUUAUUUUCUUUCUUUUCUCUGAUUCCUGCCAUUAAUUUUUGUCUAAGAUAUGAUGUUGGUGGUGAUGGUUAAUCCUUACAUAGUCUGCAUCUGAAAUGAGUUUGCAUUUCUUAUGUCUUACAGGCAGCUGGAUCUCAGGGGCCGAAGUAAAUGUGUUCCUCAUACAUUACGGAAACUGUGUGACAUGGUGAGUUGUGAUGCAAGUGUUCAUCACUCAAAAGUCACAAGUUGAUAUGGGGCAAAAUCUGGACUUUAGUCGAUCUUGCAAACUAUGGCCUAAUUAUGGAUCAAAUGAUAGAGAGAUGAUUUAUUGUUGUUGUUGUUGUU